RNAcentral lists this ribosomal RNA (508 nucleotides) under uncultured Rhodobacter sp. Its description in RNAcentral is "bacterial SSU rRNA". It matches the Rfam family "Bacterial small subunit ribosomal RNA", at positions 1012 to 1533 of the family's 1533-position model. Lineage: Bacteria; Pseudomonadati; Pseudomonadota; Alphaproteobacteria; Rhodobacterales. The record is from RNAcentral.
CUUUCAGUUCGGCUGGAUACCACACAGGUGCUGCAUGGCUGUCGUCAGCUCGUGUCGUGAGAUGUUCGGUUAAGUCCGGCAACGAGCGCAACCCACACUCUUAGUUGCCAUCAUUCAGUUGGGCACUCUAGGAGAACUGCCGGUGAUAAGCCGGAGGAAGGUGUGGAUGACGUCAAGUCCUCAUGGCCCUUACGGGUUGGGCUACACACGUGCUACAAUGGUGGUGACAAUGGGUUAAUCCCCAAAAGCCAUCUCAGUUCGGAUUGGGGUCUGCAACUCGACCCCAUGAAGUCGGAAUCGCUAGUAAUCGCGUAACAGCAUGACGCGGUGAAUACGUUCCCGGGCCUUGUACACACCGCCCGUCACACCAUGGGAAUUGGGUUUACCCGACGACGGUGCGCUAACCUUAGCAAUAAGGGGGCAGCCGGCCACGGUAGGCUCAGUGACUGGGGUGAAGUCGUAACAAGGUAGCCGUAGGGGAACCUGCGGCUGGAUCACCUCCUUUCUG